Molecule: long non-coding RNA, 521 nt
Organism: Peromyscus maniculatus bairdii (prairie deer mouse)
Lineage: Eukaryota; Metazoa; Chordata; Mammalia; Rodentia; Cricetidae
Source: RefSeq, a predicted model, not a curated record
UGGAGGCUGAAGAUUUGCAUGAGUGAGAAGAUGAGAAAAUCUGCUGUGAAUUUUUUUUUCUAGGAAUGACAGAGGAGAUAUACCCAUAACACCUCAACGAUAUGACUGCUGCUUAACAAGGUCUGAACAGUGGUAAUAUCCAUUGGUCCUAAAGCAUCCCACCUAGCCUAGAGCUCUCCAGUGUAAAGAAUGCAAGUAUUCCAAGUAAUAUCUUCACAUCAAACAAAGUGUUUUCGUAUAUACUUGGGAUAUUCAAAAUUCUAGUUAUAUCAUAUAACUAGACUAUCAAAUGUCAAGGAGAUUUAAAGACUUUAAAAUUUUAAAAUGAUACAAUUAAGAGACAUUUACAGAGGAGAAAUGUAUUUGUAGGUAAGUGUUCUUGGUAGUGUUCAGCAUUAUGCCAGUUUUCAUGUACUUUUUUUUUAACCACACUUAAUUAAUUUUAACUGCUUUGAUUUAGUUAUAUUUUCACUUUCAUUUUGAAAUAGUCUUAAAUAAAUAACUCCCUUUGUGUCAUAUUA